Sinocyclocheilus grahami is the source of this 354-nucleotide non-coding RNA. Lineage: Eukaryota; Metazoa; Chordata; Actinopteri; Cypriniformes; Cyprinidae. The record is from the annotation of a RefSeq genome assembly.
AUGGAGAGAUAUCUACUACUAAUUGUCAUUACAGUAUCAGGAGUAUUUCCUGACAGCAUUGGACCAAAAAACAAGGACGCUAUAAUCAAUAAAGAAGGAGAGUCUGUGACACUGAGCUGCUCAUACAGUACAAUCAGCAAUGAUGUUUAUCUUUACUGGUACAAACAGUAUCCCGACACAGAACCUCAGUAUUUACUGUGGAAAGGUGCUCGAUCAUGGAACACUGAAGAAGAUAUACCAGACCAACGCUUUCAGUCAACUACAUCCCAAUCAUCCACUGAACUCACUAUUAAGAGUGUAACUCUGUCAGAUUCAGCUCUCUAUUACUGUGCUCUAAGAGUAGCAGCCCAGUGA